This 23-nucleotide non-coding RNA is filed under the name Cricetulus griseus (Chinese hamster). The record is from RNAcentral. Lineage: Eukaryota; Metazoa; Chordata; Mammalia; Rodentia; Cricetidae.
AUAGAAGUCUUAAGUUUAACCUU